RNAcentral lists this long non-coding RNA (533 nucleotides) under Nicotiana benthamiana. RNAcentral's name for it is "long non-coding RNA (NBEN_LNC008501)". The record is from RNAcentral. Lineage: Eukaryota; Viridiplantae; Streptophyta; Magnoliopsida; Solanales; Solanaceae.
CCUGCAAAAAAUUCAAGGAUUAAUACACAAAAAAAAAAGUGACAGAAUUUAGAAACUGUGGCAUAUUACAGGCGAAUAACAUGAUUAUUGGAGUCGCAGGUGAUAUGAAACCAGGUACAAGGAUUAACAAGAGUAGGAUCCCAGCUCUGUAGAACAUUUGCUGGGUCAGAGAGUCUGCUUCUCAAAGCAUGUAGAGCAUUUCCUGAAAGAUGAACACAACAAAAAAUUUUAGGAAGAUGGGUCCAUUUCAAGAUUUAGUCCCAGCUCUGUAGAACAUUUGUUGGGUCAGAGAGUCUACUUCUCAAAGCAUGUAGAGCAUUUCCUGAAAGAUGAACAGACAAAAAUGAGAUAAGGUCCAUUUCAAGAUUUAAACUUUUUUCUUUAUGUUAUGUAGGUAGGUCCAUUUCCAUGGUUUUAACUGUAACCCCUUGAAAGACUAAUGGAUGAAAAGAAGAUAAAACCAAAUAGGAGUUCAUAUGGUAGCAUAAAGCUAAAAGCUUUAAACCCUAGGAAUGACAAAAGGAAUACAUGGG